UUAUGCCUACGGGGGGCAGCAGUAGGGAAUCUUCCACAAUGGACGAAAGUCUGAUGGAGCAACGCCGCGUGAGUGAAGAAGGGUUUCGGCUCGUAAAGCUCUGUUGGUAGUGAAGAAAGAUAGAGGUAGUAACUGGCCUUUUUUUGACGGUAAUUACUUAGAAAGUCACGGCUAACUACGUGCCAACAGCCGCGGUAAUACGUAGGUGGCAAGCGUUGUCCGGAUUUAUUGGG
This 233-nucleotide ribosomal RNA is filed under the name uncultured bacterium. Its description in RNAcentral is "partial 16S ribosomal RNA". It matches the Rfam family "Bacterial small subunit ribosomal RNA", at positions 333 to 558 of the family's 1533-position model. The record is from RNAcentral.